GAGUUUGAUCAUGGCUCAGGAUGAACGCUAGCGGCAGGCUUAACACAUGCAAGUCGAGGGGUAACAGGGAUUGCUUGCAAUCCGCUGACGACCGGCGCACGGGUGCGUAACGCGUAUGCAACCUACCUUUUACAAGGGGAUAGCCCAGAGAAAUUUGGAAUAAUACCCUAUACGAUCAUUAAUUGGCAUCAAUUAAUGAAGAAAACUCCGGUGGUAAAAGAUGGGCAUGCGUCCUAUUAGUUAGUUGGUAAGGUAACGGCUUACCAAGACUCCGAUAGGUAGGGGUCCUGAGAGGGAGAUCCCCCACACUGGUACUGAGACACGGACCAGACUCCUACGGGAGGCAGCAGUGAGGAAUAUUGGACAAUGGAGGCAACUCUGAUCCAGCCAUGCCGCGUGCAGGAAGACGGCCCUACGGGUUGUAAACUGCUUUUAUACAGGAAGAACUAUAUCUACGUGUAGAUAUUUGACGGUACUGUACGAAUAAGGAUCGGCUAACUCCGUGCCAGCAGCCGCGGUAAUACGGAGGAUCCAAGCGUUAUCCGGAAUCAUUGGGUUUAAAGGGUCCGUAGGCGGUCUAAUAAGUCAGAGGUGAAAUCCUACAGCUCAACUGUAGCAUUGCCUUUGAUACUGUUAGACUUGAGUUAUUGUGAAGUAGUUAGAAUGUGUAGUGUAGCGGUGAAAUGCAUAGAUAUUACACAGAAUACCGAUUGCGAAGGCAGAUUACUAACAAUAUACUGACGCUGAGGGACGAAAGCGUGGGUAGCGAACAGGAUUAGAUACCCUGGUAGUCCACGCCGUAAACGAUGGAUACUAGCUGUUCGAUCAACAUUGGUUGGUUGAGUGGCUAAGCGAAAGUGA
Molecule: ribosomal RNA, 861 nt
Filed under: uncultured bacterium
Lineage: Bacteria
Description: bacterial SSU rRNA
Rfam family: Bacterial small subunit ribosomal RNA
Source: RNAcentral